RNAcentral lists this non-coding RNA (191 nucleotides) under Tessaracoccus sp. ZS01. The record is from RNAcentral. RNAcentral also lists the same sequence under 1 other name. Lineage: Bacteria; Bacillati; Actinomycetota; Actinomycetes; Propionibacteriales; Propionibacteriaceae.
UAUGGUUGCGGCAACGCAAGGUUCCGCCAACCGCAGGGUUGUCGGCUAAGAGGGAAUCCGGUGCAAAUCCGGAACUGUCCCGCAGCGGUAAGUGAGAACGACCGCCGUCAUCAGCACUGGGUGAUCCCCGGGAAGCGACGGCCAGUAGGUGGCUCAGGAGUCCGAAGACCUGCCUGCGUGGCCCCGCAUCC